RNAcentral lists this long non-coding RNA (332 nucleotides) under Bos taurus (domestic cattle). Its description in RNAcentral is "long non-coding RNA NONBTAT016199". The record is from RNAcentral. Lineage: Eukaryota; Metazoa; Chordata; Mammalia; Artiodactyla; Bovidae.
AACCUUUGUAAAUUCUGAAUAUAAUUCUUGGUUGGUUUGCUACAGUUGGUAAUAGACAAUUUAAAUUAGUAUGGACCUUUAGGCCUUGCUGAGUAAUUAGGCUCUGCAAAAGAGGUUAGAAAUGUGAACUUCCCUUAGAUUACUGUUAUCAGUAACUACUAUUUUCUCAUACACUGACUAAAUGUAAAACUUUUGAGUCUUUGAAGAAUAAUUUUUCUAACUACAAGCACUACUUGGUAAUAGAACUUAAUGAUGAAAGGUAUAUACUUUUAGAAAUUUCAUUAAGUUCUAGAUAAGAUAAAAAACAAGGAAGUGUGCAAGAAUUUCCCAAG